ACCGAGCCCACCUGUGCCUUAUUCUCUCUUCUUCUCCAGCGGCAGCUGCUGGGAUCUUUGCAUUAGCAUUUUGUCCUGAGCUACCCUACCGUGACUGCAGACAAUACCACAGUGUGACCUCGGAGCAAUGGCAGGUACUUGAUAUCAUCUCAAGCACAGCAACCUUCA
RNAcentral lists this long non-coding RNA (168 nucleotides) under Cricetulus griseus (Chinese hamster). RNAcentral's name for it is "lncRNA (ENSCGRG00000026638.1)". The record is from RNAcentral. Lineage: Eukaryota; Metazoa; Chordata; Mammalia; Rodentia; Cricetidae.